RNAcentral lists this ribosomal RNA (195 nucleotides) under Crocodylus niloticus (Nile crocodile). RNAcentral describes it as "partial 12S ribosomal RNA". The record is from RNAcentral. Lineage: Eukaryota; Metazoa; Chordata; Crocodylia; Crocodylidae.
UUUUGCCCUAAGCAGCCUGUAUACCGCCGUCGCAAGCUAAGCCCGUGAGGGACAAAACCCCAGCACAAUAACACACCUCUAAGCUAGUACGUCAGGUCAAGGUGCAGCCUAUAAGUUGGUAGAGACGGGCUACAUUUUCUACAUCAUAGAAAUUGGUCACGGAGAGGCCUGUGAAACCAGGACUGUCAAAGACGG